CCAGCAGGCCGGGUGAUCGCUUCUUCCGUUUCGGCGGGGGGAGAGGAAGGUCCGAGCUCCAAACGGGCAGCGCGCUGGGUAACUCCCAGGCGGGGUAACCCGACGGAAAGUGGCACAGAAACAUACCGCCCUUCCCCGGAAGGGCAAGGGUGAAAUGGUGGGGUAAGAGCCCACCGGCUUCGGUGUGAGCCGGAGGCCGGCUAAACCCCGCGCGGAGCAAGGCCAAAUAGGAGGGUGCUAAGGGUGCCCGGCCCAAACCCUCGGGUUGGCCGCUAGAGGUCCUGCGCAAGCAGGAUCCCAGAUUGAUGAUCGCCGUCCUUCCCCGGAAGGAUACAGAACUCGGCCUACAGGCCUGCUGGACUG
This 363-nucleotide RNase P RNA is filed under the name Dehalococcoidia bacterium. RNAcentral describes it as "RNase P RNA component class A". It matches the Rfam family "Bacterial RNase P class A". From Rfam's summary of the family: Ribonuclease P (RNase P) is a ubiquitous endoribonuclease, found in archaea, bacteria and eukarya as well as chloroplasts and mitochondria. Lineage: Bacteria; Bacillati; Chloroflexota; Dehalococcoidia. The record is from RNAcentral.